GCCGCGGUAAUUCCAGCUCCAAUAGCGUAUAUUAACGUUGUUGCAGUUAAAAAGCUCGUAGUUGAAGUGUGGGUGAUCGCUGUUGUGAGACUUCGGUCUCUCGAUAGUAAGUCACCCCCUUCCAGUAUCCAGUAGUGGGUAUUCACUUACUUACUAUUGUGUGUUGGUCCUUUACUGUGAGAAAAUUAGAGUGUUCAAAGCAGGCGUUUGCUUGAAUAGAUUAGCAUGGAAUAAUAAUUGAAGGCUUUCGUGUUCGAUUUGAUUGGUUUGUUCAUGGAAGCAAGGUUAAAAGGAACAGUUGGGGGUAUUCAUAUUCACUAGUUAGAGGUGAAAUUCUCGGAUUUAUGGAAGAUGAACAAGUGCGAAAGCAUUUACCAAGGAUGUUUUCAUUAAUCAAGGACGAAAG
This 406-nucleotide ribosomal RNA is filed under the name Blastocystis sp. Its description in RNAcentral is "SSU rRNA". It matches the Rfam family "Eukaryotic small subunit ribosomal RNA", at positions 573 to 989 of the family's 1831-position model. Lineage: Eukaryota; Bigyra; Opalinata; Blastocystidae. The record is from RNAcentral.